RNAcentral lists this ribosomal RNA (484 nucleotides) under uncultured bacterium. RNAcentral describes it as "partial 16S ribosomal RNA". It matches the Rfam family "Bacterial small subunit ribosomal RNA", at positions 30 to 507 of the family's 1533-position model. The record is from RNAcentral.
AUUGAACGCUGGCGGCAGGCCUAACACAUGCAAGUCGAGCGGAUGAAGGGAGCUUGCUCCUGGAUUCAGCGGCGGACGGGUGAGUAAUGCCUAGGAAUCUGCCUGGUAUGGGGGGAUAAGGUCCGGAAACGGGCGCUAAUACCCCAAACGUCCUGAGGGAGAAAGUGGGGGAUCUUGGGCCCUCACGCUACCAGAUGACCCUAGGUCGGAUUAGCUAGUUGGUGGGGUAAAGGCCUACCAAGGCGACGAUCCGUAACUGGUCUGAGAGGAUGAUCAGUCACACUGGAACUGAGACACGGUCCAGACUCCUACGGGAGGCAGCAGUGGGGAAUAUUGGACAAUGGGCGAAAGCCUGAUCCAGCCAUGCCGCGUGUGUGAAGAAGGUCUUCGGAUUGUAAAGCACUUUAAGUUGGGAGGAAGGGCAGUAAGUUAAUACCUUGCUGUUUUGACGUUACCAACAGAAUAAGCACCGGCUAACUUCGUG